AGAGUUGAUCCUGGCUCAGGACGAACGCUGGCGGCGUGCCUAACACAUGCAAGUCGAACGGACGAGAGGAGCUUGCUCCUCGAGUUAGUGGCGAACGGGUGAGUAACGCGUGAGCAACCUGCCUUUCAGAGGGGGACAACGGUUGGAAACGACCGCUAAUACCGCAUGACGCAUUUGGAUCGCAUGGUCUGAAUGCCAAAGAUUUUAUCGCUGAAAGAUGGGCUCGCGUCUGAUUAGAUAGUUGGUGGGGUAACGGCCCACCAAGUCGACGAUCAGUAGCCGGACUGAGAGGUUGAACGGCCACAUUGGGACUGAGAUACGGCCCAGACUCCUACGGGAGGCAGCAGUGGGGAAUAUUGGGCAAUGGGGGAAACCCUGACCCAGCAACGCCGCGUGAAGGAAGAAGGCUUUCGGGUUGUAAACUUCUUUUACCAGGGACGAAGAAAGUGACGGUACCUGGAGAAAAAGCCACGGCUAACUACGUGCC
This 487-nucleotide ribosomal RNA is filed under the name uncultured organism. RNAcentral describes it as "SSU rRNA". It matches the Rfam family "Bacterial small subunit ribosomal RNA", at positions 8 to 509 of the family's 1533-position model. The record is from RNAcentral.